This is a long non-coding RNA of Capsicum annuum, 2850 nucleotides long. RefSeq lists it as uncharacterized. The record is from RefSeq and is a predicted model, not a curated record. Lineage: Eukaryota; Viridiplantae; Streptophyta; Magnoliopsida; Solanales; Solanaceae. The transcript is spliced from 2 exons.
CCCAUGAUUUGAGUAUUUUGAGUUUAUUGAGAAAUGUUUUGACCUAAUGAUUAGGGAUGGUCCAUGAUGCUGGAGAAAGUAAUUGGGGGUGUGCAAAUGGUUUAUCGAGCUUACGUAAGUAGUUCACGAUGCCAAGGUGAGUAAAAGUAAAGUUCGGCAAGAAGGAAAAUAAAAAAUGCCUCAAGAGAGUGUACAUGUGUGUUAUCUCCGUGCCACGAGAGUUGAAUGGCAUUUUAAUAACGUGUAACGGAGGAACGUAAUUAGUUGGAUUUGAAUUUCAAGACCCAAAAACAGUGUGCCUCCAAUCUUUUUGGCGUGUCGUGGAGGUUGAUCUCUGUUUUAUAUUAAUAUAACAUGAAUAGAAUUAAAUUUGUAUAAAUAACAUAAAUAUCAAUUCUUUUGAAAGUAAUUACACUUUUUUUCACUUUUUAAAUUAUUUUAUUCUCUCUCUAUUAAUAUAUAUAAUAUAGCCGAUAUAUACAUAGCAUUUUAUGUAUAUGUUGAAAUUUUUAUAAUAUAUUUAACGAGUUGAGAUUUUUUGUAAUAUUGAAAAGAUAAAUUGUAUAUUUAUUUAAUUUUUAGAUUAAAUUUUCCAAGGCCCAAAAGAGUGGGCAUCCGCAAAACUGCCAUGGCAUGGAGUAAUAAACUCCCAAAUCCAUAAACAGUCCCUCUCCGUGUUAUUAGCGUGCCACGCUACUUAGGCCAUGUAAUAUUGAUGUAGCACGGCUGAGGCUUUUCGGUGAAAAUCAAGUAAGGAAUUAAAUUUCCCAAGGCCAUAUUUGAAAUAAAAAUUUCCCCGUUCUUUCACAUCACCCAACCCUAGCGUACCGCCCUAUCAAAUUUCUCUCAAUCCCCAAUAUGUCACGCAGCUACUUCUCUCUGAAUUUUCCUUCUCUAUCGUGCUUAAGCACAACAGUUAUGAAUUCUCGAUAUCUCUUCUCUUGUACGGUUGUGUGUUGCGUGGGGUUUGAAAUGUGAGUUUGUUGGUUGAUAAAUUUCCUUGGGUAAUCUUGGAUUCAUGAUUGUGUUGGUUGAAAUUAACUUGCUAUGGGUCGUGACACUGAAUUAAGCAGCAUAUGGUGUAAAGGCUAGUGUUUGUAGCAAUUUCUAGAGUUGAUUAAGGCGUAUACCAGGCUGAGCAUUUUUCAUACUAAUAUGUGUGAUUUUUGAGGCUUGUGGCAUCUGAUAUUGUAAUACAAAUUAAAUAUUGGAGCAACUGGUUUAACUCUUUGGGAUAAUAAUGCUUUCUGGUGCAUUGUCUGUAAAUAGCACUUUUUUGUCCUACAAUAUAGUUUUGUCACUUGAAUUCGUCUUUGAUACUGGUUGUGCUCUAAGUUGUGGGAAAUUAUGAUGUGAAAUCAACUGCUAUUGUUUGAAGUCUGAGUAAAACAUCAUAGGUACCAUGUCUGGACGACAACAAAAAGGCAAAGAAGUUGGUCCCUCAAUUGAGGAAAGGAAGAGAAUUUAGGCUGGUGCUCGAGUCCCUACGACCCCAGCCGUUCCUGGAGGACAGGCGCGGAUGUUUGGAACUAGGUGGGUUCUGGAGGACGAAAAGAGAUGAUAUAGCAAGCAUUUCAAAGCCAAAUAUGCCCUAGAUGAGAUGAUUGACACAAAAGCUUGAGAAGGGACUUCCCCCAGAUUGUGCAAUGACUGGAGCAAUCAGGUAUGAAGUUUGUGUUUGAGGAACCAAUAGAGUGCAACCUCCACUUGAUAAGAGAGUUUUAUGCGAAUUGGGAUCCUCAGCAGGCUGAUUUCUCGGUACAGAUCAGGGGACAAGCAAUGAAAUUUGAAGCACAUGUUUUGAACACGAUCUUAGGUACUCCAGAGACUGACCCGCUUCAGCUAAGAUGCUGAACAUUACAACCGUUGUGAGCUGAUAAUCAACAUGUACUUUGUGGUGAGAAGUCGACGGUGAUGUGGAGUUGCCGCAAGGACCACAGUUUCAUUUGACAUUCCCUUAUGCCCGUAUAAAUAGAGAAGCUUGUGUGUGAUUGAAGAUUGUGCGUCAUUGCCUCAUACCAGGUAAGCCCAUGACCGAUGUUAUGUAGGAUCGGAUUUGUUUGGUUUAUGCCCUUAUGCAGGACAAGUCUGAGAUAAAUGUGGGGGUUUUAAUCAAAUCUAUUAUGAAGAAGGUACAAAACCAUCAGGGUCGCAGGUAUGGGUUCAGUGGAUUGUUGACUAAGCUUCUGAGAAGCCACAACACUGAAGAAGAGGCAUUGGAUUAUAAACCACAGUUGGAGAGGCGUCCUGUGGAUGUGACCAGAACUAGAGCACUUGAUGUUUCUCGUGGGCCUAUAGCAACACUAGCUGAGCAAUAUGCUUGAGAUUAUGAGAUCACAGCCAGUAUGUUCGAACUGAAGAUGUUGCAGCUUCAUAUUGAAGCUAGGGCAGCAACUAGAGAUGAGAUGCGACGAGUGGAGCAGAAUUAUCCAUUGGGUCACCACGCCAGGGCAUUGUUGGGCCAGAUUUUGUGGAAUCGGUAGAUGAUGAUGUUGCCACCGACAAGGAUAGAUGGCGACAGGACUCGGGACCCAGACUUGGGUGACGAUGGCCAGGGCCCUGAUUUGGAUGAUGGGACAGAGGAUUUAUCAGGGAGUGUUUCAAACGCCUCACUUUUGCACGUGUUUUUGUUUUUACAAGCACUGGGGAGAGUUACAUUGGGAGAGUUGCUCUUGUUCUUACUUUUGUUCUUUUAUGUUUUGUUAUUAUUUUGUUAUGUUUCUAGUUUAAAGACAUUUCAUUAGUUGCUUUGUUUCAAAUUUGGUUUGUAACAAAGAAACAGUAGAACUUUCAGAUUUGUGAUUGUUUAGUAAUUAUUGGGUUAAUUCUUUAUUUAAAGUUUGUUUCGUA